AGAAGUACCGCGACUCGAAGAAGAUCGACAAGCACCUGUACCACGACCUGUACAUGAAGGUGCGCUUGCUGCCCUGUUGACACGGAACUUUGCAACCACGGGGCCUGGAAUUGGGCUUAGCUGCAGGUGCAAGCACUGUGUGAUAUUGGGCGGUCCUUGCCGGGCACUUUGAGCGAAACAUGGAGGGACCACAUGGAGCAUGCAGCAGCGCUCUGGAGCAACCGCGGAGCUGCUCGGACGGGGGACGCAGCCGGAGCGGAUGAGCACAGCCUGGCGCAGCAGCCGCAACGACUGGCGCACACCUUCAGAAUAACCUGGCGUGCCCGGGGGGCUGGCGGCGGCGGCUGGCUCCGGCUGUGGCGGCGGCGCGGGUGCAGUUGCAUGGUGACGGGCAGCCCGGCUGCUUGUAUGGGUUGCCGUGGCACAACUACAGCUUAGCAGCGCGGCAGCAGGAGCCGGGCGGCAUGUCCGCUGGCGCCCCGAUGCAAUGCCGUCCGCAGUCUGGCGCCCGCGGGGUGGGGGGCUAACGGCAGUUGGGGCAGCCGCCAGCAGCAGAGGCAGUAUGUGCGACCAGCGGAGCGCCCCACGGGAGCGCCCCAUGUAUCGGGUAUCGAGGGCGUCCCGGGGAUGGCGGCUGAGGCGGCCGCCGUCAGUCAGCUACAAAUGACAGCGCAGCCGCUGCACAGGGUCGAUGGGGCAGGGCUGCUCCGCGGGGCGGCUCGCGGACAGCCGGAAACCAUUUGCAGACCAGAAGGCGUGGCGUCGAUGCAUGGAUGCAUUGCGCACCACAGCGGUGCACGGGGCUGCUCCGUGUGUUGAGGGCCAGCCUAGCAGCUGCGCCGGUAUUGCCGCUGUUGUCGCAGCGACCAGGCCAAAAUAUCAGGAUUCGCCCACACCCCGAGCCGGCGCAGCAGGUUUUCCCAGACCAGCGAGAGAUCAGUGUUCAUGGCAACCGGCCGGCCGCAGUACGCCGGCUGGAUAGCAUAACAGACCAUGUGCACACGCGUCCGAGCGGGCUGUCCCAGGACUGACGGUGGAACCGCCCGUGCUGCUCUCUCCGCCACAUUGCACGCCCCCGCAGGUCAAGGGUAACGUGUUCAAGAACAAGCGCGUGCUGAUGGAGGCCGUGCACAAGCAGAAGGCGGAGAAGGUGCGCGAGAAGACCAUCGCCGACCAGUUCGAGGCGCGCCGCGCCAAGAACAAGGCGGCGCGCGAGCGCAAGGCCACCCGUCGCGAGGAGAGGCUGGCCGCGGUGAGUUGUUGGGAGGAAUGAGGGGUGGGCGGGAUGCAACAGCGGGACAAUGCGGAAGUGGAGGCAAGGCGCCGGCCGCGGAAUGGGAGCGCGAGGCUGUCUGACGCGCUGGCGGCGGGGGGGGGGAGAUCGUCAGCGGGAGGCCAUGGGUGGGUGGCGGAGGUGGAAUGCGAGGCAUGCGGGUUCGUCGGGUGCCUGAGGGAGUGCGGUCCAUGGUCAGGGCGGUCCUGGUGCACGCGGCAACACCUGGGCCUCGGUGAGCCUAUCCCCACGCUGCGAGCUGAUCCGCCCUCCCUCCUACCCCGCCACUCCGUGUGCCCUCCCGCAGGGCCUCCACCUCGAGGCCCCGGCGACCAAGCCCGCCCCCGCCCAGAAGAAGUAGACGGUCCAUCUAGCGGGCGGCACCCAUCUGCCGUCUGACGGUGGUGGUGUCAAUGAGAGAGUUGUCGACGGACCGCUGUAACUACCGGGGUGACCAACGACCCGAAUCGUACCGCCGCGCUGUGAUGGCGUGGCAGCGUCAACUGGGUGGGAGGGC
This 1790-nucleotide long non-coding RNA is filed under the name Chlamydomonas reinhardtii. Its description in RNAcentral is "long non-coding RNA (CREI_LNC000092)". The record is from RNAcentral. Lineage: Eukaryota; Viridiplantae; Chlorophyta; Chlorophyceae; Chlamydomonadales; Chlamydomonadaceae.